Molecule: ribosomal RNA, 301 nt
Filed under: uncultured bacterium
Lineage: Bacteria
Description: partial 16S ribosomal RNA
Rfam family: Bacterial small subunit ribosomal RNA
Source: RNAcentral
CAGUAGCCACGGUAAUACGUAGGGGGCAAGCGUUAUCCGGAAUUACUGGGUGUAAAGGGAGCGUAGACGGUUAAACAAGUCUGAAGUGAAAUGCCGGGGCUCAACCCCGGAGCUGCUUUGGGAACUGUAGAACUGGAGUGUCGGAGGGGUAAGCGGAAUUCCCAGUGUAGCGGUGAAAUGCGUAGAUAUUGGGAGGAACACCGGCGGCGAAGGCGGCUUACUGGACGACAACUGACGUUGAGGCUCGAAGGCGUGGGUAGCAAACAGGAUUAGAUACCCGCGUAGUCCCUGUCUCUUAUAC